This 215-nucleotide ribosomal RNA is filed under the name uncultured bacterium. RNAcentral's name for it is "partial 16S ribosomal RNA". It matches the Rfam family "Bacterial small subunit ribosomal RNA", at positions 326 to 539 of the family's 1533-position model. The record is from RNAcentral.
ACGCUCGACACCUGGAAGCAGCAGUGAGGAAUAUUGGUCAAUGGGCGCAGGCCUGAACCAGCCAAGUAGCGUGAAGGAUGACUGCCCUAUGGGUUGUAAACUUCUUUUAUAUGGGAAUAAAGUUUUCCACGUGUGGAAUUUUGUAUGUACCAUAUGAAUAAGGAUCGGCUAACUCCGUGCCAACAGCCGCGGUAAUCUGAGCGGGCUGGCAAGGC